UCAUCAACCCCUUUCUUCUUCUUUCUCUCAGCCGCCAAAACUCAACAACCACCAAAACUCUCACGCCUCCUCAUUCGAUCGACUCAACCCUCGUCUCUCAUUCUCUCACAUCUCCAUUUCUGAACGGUGGUUAGACUCAUUCAACCAUGUUCUUCAUUCAAUCUCACAACCAUGAAUACAGGCCAGCUUCGUCGUCUUCUUCUCGUCAUCGUAACUUCCGGCGCCGCUAGAUAACCACCACCAUCAUCGCCUUCUCUUGAAUCAAAGGUCUCGGAACACCAAUCACAUCCGAAGUACAUCAUUCCUCCAUUUCAACCGCGAUUUUGAUUCUUAACACAAAACCCUAGGUUCUUUACGGACAGAAUUGAACAUUCACCGUCACAAAUUGAGCUCAAUUCCUUGGGGGUUCGAUUCACCAUAGCAUAAGCUUCGUGUUGGUGACAAGAACUAAGCAAAGCGGUGAAGUAAAGAAUGAGUUCGGCAGUUACCUAUCAGAGAUUAACAAAUGCAAUUUCGACAACGACGAAGAGAAAAAGAAAACCAGAUGCUCCGCCUUUCAGGGUAAACCAAGAAAUAACACACAGAGAUGAUGUUUCAUAGGAGAUGACAAGGAGACUUUUGAGACAUUUGAAUCUAUGGAGUUUGGACUACUCUUUUUCUAGAGGAACUGCUCAUUUACUUGCAAAGAUCUUGACUAUCAACAAACUCUAAGUGCCAACGGGUGGGUUCAAUCCUAUGGAUCCCACUAUGUCAAACAAGCAAUUAUCUAUGGUGAUGUGAGUCGUCCCAAGCCAAUGACUGUUUUCUGGUCUUCGACAGCUCAAAGUUUGACAAAACGACCUAUGAAGGGAAUGCUUACUGGCCCUGUUACAAUUCUGAACUGGUCCUUUGUUAGAGAUGACCAACCUUGAUUUGAGACUUGCUACCAGAUUGCGUUGGCUAUAAAGGAUGAGGUUGAGGAUCUUGAGAAAGCUAGCAUUACUGUCAUCCAAAUCGACGAGGCUGCUUUAAGAGAAGGUUUGCCUCUAAGGAAAUCUGAGGAGGCUUUCUAUCUAAACUGGGCAGUUCACUCAUUUAGGAUUACAAACUGUGGUGUGCAAGACACUACCCAGGUUCAACUUCACUUCACGGGCUCUAAUCUUCAUUGAUGAUUAUUAUGCAGUUUAUUUACUAAGCUUGUAUUAAUUCUAACAACAUUUCUACAAGAGGAUUACAACAAGUGUCAAAAUUGUGGAAAGUUCAGUCCAAAAAUCACUGAACCAUUCUUCGGAUGGUUUCACAUAGUAAAUUAUUUGUUUCUCUCCUUGAUGGAUUCUAUUUUUCAGAAAUUGGUAAUUUUUCUUCUUUUUCAUGUUAUUUCUCCAUAUUUGCUAUUUGGUUGAUGGUUCUAGGAAGCUCUAUCGGAUUCUCAAGCCAGAGAAAAUGAUAUUAAAUAAAGCGGUGCAUCCUU
This is a long non-coding RNA of Vicia villosa (hairy vetch), 1450 nucleotides long. RefSeq lists it as uncharacterized. The record is from RefSeq and is a predicted model, not a curated record. Lineage: Eukaryota; Viridiplantae; Streptophyta; Magnoliopsida; Fabales; Fabaceae. The transcript has 5 exons.